Molecule: ribosomal RNA, 399 nt
Filed under: uncultured eukaryote
Lineage: Eukaryota
Description: SSU rRNA
Rfam family: Eukaryotic small subunit ribosomal RNA
Source: RNAcentral
AGCUCCAAUAGCGUAUAUUAACAUUGCUGCAGUUAAAAAGCUCGUAGUCGAAUUUCUGGCUUUUUCAAACAAGAACUGAAUCUCUUUGAUAGAUCAUGUUUCUUCUGUUUGUGAGCCAUCUUUCUGGAUUUUUGUAUUUCUCCUCUUGGAUGAGGGUGUUAUACAAUCCAGAUCUUUUACUGUGAGCAAAUGAGAGUGUUUAACGCAAGCUCAUGUCAUGCCUGAAUCGUCUAGCAUGGAAUAAUAAGAUAGAACUUGGGUUCUAUUUUGUUGGCUUCUAGAAUUCAAGUAAUGAUCGAAAGGGAUAGUUGGGGGUGCUCGUAUUCAGGGGGGAGCGGUGAAAUGCGUUGAGCCUCUGAAGACGGACUAAUGCGAAAGCAUUCACUAAGGAUAUCUUCU